GCCGCCAUUAGUGCGCGAUCGCGUUUCAUUUUUUUGAUUUGCGGAGUUUUCAACGUGAAAAACUCCUGAAAAUAGUGAAAUUAGAAAGAGGUGGCCAGAGAGCCAAUCAACGAAAAAGGAAAAAACGGUUCUGGAGGGACUGUUGCUCCCUUGUGAUUCUUCCCUGCAUAACCAUCUCAACCGGUAAGCAAAGUCGGGAGAAUUCUACCGUUGUCGACGUUUGUUGUCCAGCAUGGAACCAUGGAACCAGCCGCACCUAAGGAAGUCUGGUGGCUCAUUGCCCAUGGUCAUCCAUGCCCAUGGAUAGACUUGUGAGUAAGCUGGAUGCGGCUUCCCGGAUGUUCAGCAACUGGCGCACUGCAGCGAUUUGAUUAUGAUGAACCUUAAUGGAGUCUCAGCUCCGGAACAUCUACGGUAUAACAGGCUCAACAGACUCGCACGAACUGCUGACAAUGGUUCAGUCUACUCAGGAAGUCAGCACACAAAAUCGAGCGUCUUAUUCAUCAUUCUGGGGGUCGUUACACAAAGGCAUAUUACUGUUAGAAAUAAUGAUAUAUAAUAAAAAAAUAAAAUUUAA
RNAcentral lists this long non-coding RNA (577 nucleotides) under Aedes aegypti (yellow fever mosquito). Its description in RNAcentral is "lncRNA AAEL020563". The record is from RNAcentral. Lineage: Eukaryota; Metazoa; Arthropoda; Insecta; Diptera; Culicidae.